UGCAUUAUUUCCAUCCAUCCAAUACCAUGGUAUUUGCAGGUCAACAGCAAUAAUUGAGGCUUGUUCAUACUUCAAUAUAUUGGCCUUCUUCUUCACAAUUCCAACCAGUUGUACACAUACGCACUUUACAAAGCAGCAAAAACAGCAAGCAUUAGCACAGGCGCAUAUAGUAGAAGAGGUCUCUGUAAAAGCUAGAAUAUUGAAAGAUGGAGCUUGUAUCUGCAAUCAUUAGUCCUAUUGUUGAAUCUUUAAUUGCUCCUGUCAAGAAACAACUGGGAUAUCUCUUUUCAUCCACGAAUCAUGUUAGGAACAUGAAUACUAAAAUAAAGCUACUGGAUGAUACAAGCCGUGAUGUCAAAAAACACAUGGAAACAAACAAUAGAAGUAAUCUGGAGAUACCUACUCAUGUAACGGGGUGGUUGGAAGAAGUUGAAAAGACUAAAGAAAAAGCUCAAAGCAUUCCAAGUAUUGGGAGCGGAUGUUGUAACUUGAAAAUGAGGUAUCUAGUUGGAAAGAAGGCAUUCAAGACUACGGAGGAGAUGGAAAGUCUUAUUGAUGAAAAUAGUAAGAUAAUUUGGACAAAUGCUCAAAGACCUCUUGGGAAAGUGAACUCAGAAAUCGCAUCCAGUUCUGCACCUUCGGAUGGUGAUGCCCAAAAUCACUUCAAAUCAAGAGAGAAGUCUUUUAAGAACGCCUUGGAGUCCCUCCAACAAGAUCACAAGAGCAAAGUGAUAGCCCUAUGUGGAAUGGGUGGUGUGGGGAAAACCACCAUGAUGGAGCAACUGAAAAAGGCUGCAGAAGAUAAGAAAAUGUUUGAUUAUGUUGUGAAGGUGGUUAUUGGGCAACAAAUUAACAUGCUUUCUAUUCAGCAAGAUGUGGCAGUGUAUAUGAUGGGCCAGUCCCUCAUUGAACUGAGUAAAGAAGCUAGAGCAGAUCGUCUUCGUAUAACAUUUGGAAACCUUCUAGAAGGUAGAAGAAAGGUUUUACUAAUACUAGAUGAUGUAUGGGAAACGAUUGACCUCAAAGAUAUUGGAUUGAGUCCUUUGCCCAACGGCUUCAAGUUGUUGCUGACAUCACGAAAUGAAAAUAUUUGCAAACAAAUUGCAGUAGAAGCCAAUUCGGAGUCAACACUAGUUCGAGUGGAUGUGAUGGAAGAGCCUGAAGCAUGUAGUUUCUUUUGGCAAAUUAUAGGUGUUUCAAAACAAUAUGAUAAGGAUCUCAAACAAAUAGGAAGUGAGAUCGUGAGAAGAUGUGGUUUUUUGCCCCUUGCCAUUAAACUCAUCGCCAAAACCCUUCAAUUUCAAGAAGUUUUUGUAUGGAGAGAUACUUUUCAACGGUUGAAGAAGAAGAAUCUUGAUGAGAAUGUGCAAGAAGUUAUUAAGAUAAGCUAUGAUUAUAUAAAAACAGAGGAGGAAAAGGUGAUUUUUCUUCUGUGUGGCUUGUUUCCUGAUGACUUUAAUAUCCCAAUUGAGGAACUCACAAGAUAUGCAUGGGGCCUACAGUUAUUAAGUGAAGUAUCCACUUUGGGAGAGGCUAGAGACAGGACAAAAAUGUGUGUGCAGAAUCUUAGAAAUGCAAAUUUGUUGAUGGAUAGCGAUUGCAUUGGGUGUGUCAAAAUGCAUGAUCUUGUGCUUGCUUUUGUCAUAAAUACAGUUUCUAAAGGUCAUCAUCCAUGGAUAAUCAACCAUGGUGAUAUUUCAAAGUGGAGUAGAGCUGAAGUGAGAGAGUCUUGCAAAAGACUUUCUAUUACUUGCACAGGAAUGUCUGAGUUUCCUGGUGACUCUAAGUACCCAAACCUAUCACUUUUGAGACUUAUGGAUGGAGAUAAGUCACUUAAGUUUCCUGAAGGUUUUUAUGAAAAAAUGGAAAAUCUUGAAGUUGUAGCAUAUGAAAAAAUGCAGUAUCCGUUGCUUCCCAGAUCACUUGAAUGCUCCACCAAGCUCCAAACACUCAUUCUCCAUCAAUGCCUAUUGAUGUUUGAUUUCUCUGUUAUUGGUGAACUCAUGAAUCUGGAAGUGCUCAGUUUUGCUCAUUGUGGCAUCAGAAAGUUACCAUCCACAAUUGGAAAUUUGAAGAAGCUAAAGCUAUUGGAUUUGACGGGGUGUGUAAAUCUUCGUAUUGAUGAUGGUGUAUUGUUAAAUUUGGUCAAGCUUGAAGAGCUUUAUAUGAGAGUUGAUGAUAGAAAGGCAAUUAGGUUCACAGACAGCAAUCGUGUUGAAUUAGCAGAGCUUUCAAAUCAUCUUUCUGCAUUAGAAGUUGAGUUCUUUGACAACAAUGGUACGCCCAAGAAUAUGCUGUUUACUGAACUUAAAAGGUUUAGAAUCUCUAUGGGAUGUGGUUUAGGAGACAAUACUCACAAAAAUAUGCACUCAUUUGAAAACACAUUGAGGUUGGUCACUAACAAAGAUGAGCUGUUGGAAUCUACAAUGAAUGAGUUGUUUGAGAAAACCGAGGUGCUUUAUUUGGAGGUGGAUGGUAUGAACGAUCUUGAAGAAGUUUUAAUGGAAUCAGUUCAUCUCCCUCAGCAAGCGUUUAAUAAUCUAAGAGUCCUUGAUGUGUUCAAGUGUGAAAACUUGAGGUACCUCUUCACAGUCCCUAUUGCAAAUGGUUUGGUGAAGCUUGAGCGCCUCACAGUUUCAGAGUGCUCUGUUCUUGAAGUACUUGCACAUGGUGAAAAUGGUGGAGCUGAGAAAAUUAAGUUUCAGGGGCUAAAGUUUCUAGGAUUGGAUAGGCUACCAAAGCUGAUAGGUCUUUGCAACACUGCUAAUGUAAUUGAGCUACCACAGCUGGUGGAGUUGGAACUUGAUGGCCUUCCUAACUUCAAUAGCAUUUAUCCAAAGAAAACAUCUGCAACAUCUUCUAUGUCCAGUAAUGACUCUGCAAUUCAACCAUUAUUUAACAAACAGGUGCUGAUUCCUAAGUUGGAGAAAUUGAGGAUUUGGAGGAUGGAUAAGCUGAAAGAGAUAUGGCCUUAUCAAGUUAUAAGUAGCAAAGACGUUGAUGCCUGCGUGUUGAGAAAGAUUGAAGUGAGGGGAUGUGAUAAUCUUGUGAAUCUGUUUCCAACCAAUCCCAUGUCUUUGCUGGGUUGUCUGGAAGUGCUUGAUGUUUCUAAUUGUGGAAACAUUGAAGUGUUAUUUAACAUCGACAUGAGUUGUGUUGGUGAAAUUGAAGAACACAGUAGCAACUUGAGACAAAUUGAAGUAUCUAAUUUGGAGAAGCUAAGAGAGUUGUGGAGGAUGAAAGGUGAAAGUAGCUCUGAUAUCCUCAUCCGUACCUUUCAAGCUGUUGAAAGUAUAGAAAUAGAAGAGUGCAAGAGGUUUGUAAACGUAUUCACACCGACCGUCACCAAUUCUGAUGUGAAAACAGUUAUGAAUGUGAGUAUAGAUGGAAGGAGACCUUCUGAAGAAACCAGGAGCAACAUUGAAUUGGUUCAGAACAGCCAGGAGAUUAAUGUAAUAUCCAAGGAAGAGAUCAUUUCAGAGGUGGAUGGUAAUAUUCCUGACGUUGAAUCCUCAAUUCAUCCCAAACCUUUUAACGUUAAUCACCUUCAAGUACUUGGCUGUAAGGAUGUUGAAGUGGUGUUUGAGAUAGAGAGUUCCAGUAACAGCAACAGCACCACAGAUUUCACAACAAGUCUGCAUAAAUAUAAUCAUCAACCACCACCACUACUACUUCCCCACCUCAAGUCUUUAUAUUUAAUAAAUAUGGAGAGGAUGAGUGAUGUGUGGAAGUGCAAUUGGAAGAAACUUGUAAUUCAUCAAAACCAAUCACAAUCCUACUCAUUCCACAACCUCACAAUCAUACACAUGGAAAAGUGUCAUACCAUAAAGUACUUAUUUUCACCUGUCAUGGGCAAACUUCUUCCCAACUUAAAGGAUGUCUGGAUACAUGAGUGUGAUGGUAUUGAAGAAGUUGUUUCAAAUAGAGAUAUUAAUGAUGAAAAUGAAGAAAUAAUAUCUUCUACUCACACAAACACCAUCUCCUCCUUCCCUCUUCUUGAUUCUCUCUACCUUUUUAAUCUGCCAAGCCUAAAGAGUAUCGAUGGCGGUACUACAAUCACAACUACUUCCAUCCAUGAUCAGUUCCAGUGUUCUCAAGUCGGUGUUGCUUCUUGGUUCUUAUGCCAAUACUCCAAACACAUACAUAUAUGGAAUUGUCCUGCCCUAUCAAGAGUGUUUCCAUCCAAUGUAGUGGGACAACUGAAUAAGCUUGAAGUGUUGAGCAUAUCAGAUUGCAAGUCAAUGGUGGAGAUAUUUGAAAGUAAAGAAAUAAACAAAGAUGGUGUUGAUAGUACUACGAAUGUUGGUGAUGGAAGUGAUGAUACUUGUACUGCAAUCACCAUCCCAAGGUCGGCUAAUAUGACUCUGCUUCAAUUGUCCAACCUAACGAUAUUGAGAAUCUAUGACUGUGAAGUAUUGGAAUAUAUAUUCACAAGUUCCACACUUGAAAGCCUCAAGCAACUCAAAGAACUGAUGGUAGUUAAAUGCAAGGCAAUGAAAGUGAUUGUGAAGGAAGACGGAGAUUUACCAGAACUCAAGGGUUUCUUCCGUCGUCUCAAGUCCCUUACACUUGUAGAUUUACCAGAUCUGAAGGGUUUCUUCUUGGGGAAGAAUGAGUUCAGGUGGAAAGCAUUGGAAAAGGUUAAGAUUUAUGGCUGCCCACAAAUGAUGAAUUUCACAUCUGGUCACUCCAUGACUCCGAAGCUCAACUACAUACAUACAGCCUACGGCAAGCAUAGUCUUGAAUGUGGCCUCAACUUCCAUUUGACCAAUGCUACACAAGAGCAGACUCAACUUCCUAUGUGCUCUAUUCCAGAUAUGAUAAUGCUAGUUCAGUUCCCAUGGUCUUUUUCAAAUUUAGUUGAAGUAGAUGCACAAGGGAGUGACAAAUUGUUGAAAAGCCACAUAAUUUUUCCAUGCAAGGAGUUGCUGAAUUUGAAGAAUCUUGAAAAGCUUUCUAUUAUUACCAGCAAGUAUGGUGAAUCUAAAAUAGAGGAGGUAUUUGAAGUAGCAGAAGGGACAAAUGAAGAUGUGGAUAUUGAAACACAAUCUGUUGUGGUAUUUGAGAAGCUGAAAGAGGUGACUUUGGGUAGAUUAAAUAAUCUGAAGCAUAUGUGGAAGAGCAAUCGGUGGAUAGUGUUGAACUUUCCAAACCUUACAAAGGUCUCAAUUGAAAGUUGUAAGCUUCUUGGACACGUUUUCAGUAGUUGCAUGGUUGGCAGUCUAUUGCAGCUCCAAGAGCUACAAAUAAGUAACUGCGAGAGUAUGGAUGUGAUUGUGAAGCAAGUUGAAGAUUCCAAAACCAGACCGACUACAAAGGUUGUGUUCCCUUGUCUAAAAUCCAUAACACUUGAAAUGCUUCCAAAUCUCAAGGGAUUUUGCCUGGGGAAGGAGGCUUUUGAAUGGCCAAUAUUAGAUACUUUGGAAAUCAAAGAUUGUCCAAAAAUAACAGUUUUCACAAAUGGGCAAUCAACUACUCCAAAGCUAAAACUAAUAGAUACAACUUUUGGAUUGUGUCAUGCAACGGAAGACCCAAACUCUUUCAUAAAGACCAAACAAGAAGAGGGAUGGGAGUUCUAGAGCAACAUCAAAUUCACACGUGCGGUUUGGUUCGUUUUGAAGUUAGCUAUAUAGCACAGUGCAGGUUUCCAUCGCCACCUUCAAUGAAUCUGUCUCAUGAUGAUUUUGAGUUAACAAUUGUUCACUAAACCUAGAUAAGUUACAAUUAUGCCCAUGACUAUGAGCCAUCCAUUGAUUAUUUUAAACCUAUUUGAGAAACAGAACACUUAUGCAUAUUAUCUGAUUUUUGAUGCAUCUGAGGUUUAACAUUUUUUUUAUAAUCAAAUUUAGUUUGAUAUUGGAGUUGUCAUUAUUUAUAAUCACGCUCAGAUUUUGAAAAUGCCACUUAUGUAGAAAUUAUUUGAUGAAAAAAACAUUAUAUUUUCAUUCAUUGUUUAAUUUGUCACUUUGUGCAUGUUUUUGUCGACAUACGGUUGUACCAUAUGAUGACAUGAAAAUUUUUAUGUGGUGGCUGGUUUAGUUGGAUUAAAAGACGUUACCUGUCAAGUUGAUUUUAUGCAGUGGCGGGCUUAGUUAGAAAUAUUUGAUGAAAAAACAUUACAUUUCCAUUUCUUCACAAUCUUCAAACCUUUGGUCAUUUAUUUAAAGUUGCGUAAUGAUCAAUGUUGCAUACUUUAUGUCAGUUGCAUAAAUUUGUAAUGAAAGUGAAACACUGUUGCAGAAUUUGUCUAAAAAAAAUAAAAAAAAUUGGUGCAUAAACUGGUCCUAGAAUGAAACAUAGUUGAAUAAUGAAUAUUAUGUCUAAAAAAAUAUUUUGUUGCAUAAAUUGACUAACAUGUGCAAUCAAUGUCCGUGGCUUAAACAUGUUAAAUCAUAUGGUUAAAAAUGUAAUUCACUCACUUUUCUUAGAAGCAUAUGGUUCCGAAUACAAAUAGAAUCCUAAUAGAUAGAUGAAAAUAAAAUCAUAUUCCUAACCAUCAAACGGCUCCUAGGUGAUUACUUCUUCCCUUUGCUCGACUCAAACGGCUCUAGCUUCGGCCGCAAAGAGUUGACGUUUGAGAUUGGCUAUUUCUUUCUCAAGAGAGUGUAUGUAGUCUGUAUCACUUUCCUUAAUAGUGUGUGAGUCUGAUAGGGCUUCCGAUGGGUGGGGCUUACUAGGUGUAUCCUUAACGUCCUUUCCUUCAUCUGACUCCUGGUCAGAUUCAUCAUAUUCGUAAUCAGUUACCACGUACUCUUCCGGUUCCACUCCGGGUCCCACCUCCCAUUGUAGGGCCUCCUUCAGGCUUUUCUUCAGGAUUGUCAUCUAGACCCACCUCAAUCUCCCUAUA
RNA transcript from Lactuca sativa (garden lettuce), 6847 nucleotides. It is a transcript of the gene named disease resistance protein At4g27190-like, with no coding region annotated. The record is from RefSeq and is a predicted model, not a curated record. Lineage: Eukaryota; Viridiplantae; Streptophyta; Magnoliopsida; Asterales; Asteraceae.